UCUCUCUCUCUCUCUCUCUCUCUCUCUCGCUUGGUCGCGGUGUGUGUGGCGCGAUUUGGUGGUUGGACGAAGAUGUGAAGUGCGUUGGAUGCCUAGGUACAAUAGAUAAUGAAGUGGUGGGGUGGUGGUGACUAUAGGCGGCAGCGACAGAAGAUGAGUGGUGGUGAGAAAGGAAUCGGGUGAUACUGGAAGUGAUGAAUAGUGGUGUCACUGAAGGAGUCCCUCAAAUCGCUGUGCCUGCGCGCCCCAGUUUGGCUUCUUAGAGCACACGAGAAACUGCGUGAAAGGUAAAAGUCCCAGUAAAAAUUCCUCAUAUUUUGUGCAAAACCCAUACUGAUUUCUUAAUCAAUAUAUGUAACAUAUAUACGAGUGGAUCUUAUCUCGGAAUAGUAAAUUUCUUAGUCAAAAGCCGAGUCAGUUUUCAUUUUUUUUUUUUUUAUUUAUCAUUGUUCGAUUUUCUAAGACUAUUUUCGAUAUUCUUAGUGACAAUUCUUCUCUAAACCGUGUCUUUGGCGCUCAUUCAUCUAAAUGAAGGUUAUUUUUUGUUCUUCCCUAAUUAUACUUCUGUAGAACUUUAUUUAUAAUUUGUAUUUUUAAUUUGAUCUGCCUAUAGGUAUAUAAGUUUGGGUAAAAAAAACUGGUAUGAGAUGUAAAGCUUUAAACUUUAUUUUAUUAUUUUUACACGUCAGUUUUCCUCAGUUUAUUUGGGUUAUCAAAAUAAAUUGUUUUUUUUUUUUUUUUUAAUCAAAUUCUUUUAGCUCAUCUUCAUCUAAAUAUCCUUUGUAUAUUGUAAGUAAUACCACAUUUUUGCACACUACCUUGAUCUGUGUAGUGUUUGGCGUUAUUUUUGAGAGUCAAUGUUUUUUGCUAUCAUGACAUAAUGCCAAAGUCAAUAUUUAUUGUCAAGGGCGAUAUUAUUUUCUAAUCAACCAAAAUGGGUGACAGAAGGUUGAAAGAACGGUUGAAAAUAUUGUAGCAUAAUUAAUGAGGUAAUUACCAAGAAUUCACUACAAAUAAUGGUGAUAUUUUAAAUUUUAAGAGAAGAAAUCUGAGAGAUGUAAUAGGGAGAAAUUAUGAGUGGAGAUGAUUUCUCUUUGAGGAAAUUAAAGAUGAAAGCAGUAAUACGAAAGGACAGUUGAUUAGUGGCAUUGAAACAAAACCAAGCGAUAUCACCAACUACAAGUGGGAAGAGAAGGACAACAAUGUUAUUGGCAGUUUGAACUCAGCAUUAGCAAAUUCAAUUAUGUCAAGUGUUGUAGAGAAGACGACGACAAAGGAGAUAUGUAAGAAAUUUUACAAGACAAAGUCACUCAUAAUAAGAUCUUCUUAAAGAGGAGGGUCUGCACUCUUUUAAUGGUGAAAUCUGCAUCUUAUAACAUUAUCGCAUCUAAUUGAACUACUUCUUUAACCAAGAGUGGUUUCUCAUUGCAAGCAAAAUCUAAUACAAUUUGAACUCCUCAGGCAAAACGUGUCCUAUAGAAUUUGAGGAUAACUACGAGUCCUACUAACCAAGAGUACAAAAUUACUGGAUUAAGUGAGAGGUCUUGCAAAGAGCAAUUGUAUGUUUUAUCUGUUCUAUUCAAGCUUGUUAUUUAUUUAUAUUUUCACUUUUCUGGUUUCCUUUGCUUGGCAUUAGUCUGAAGUUCUUUUUUCUCAAAGUCUCAGGUUCUCACUGAAGCAGAAAAACAAGGAUGAUGCUAGUGAAGCUCAAACCACUGAGUGACUGUCUAUGAUUACUUUGUUAAUAGCCGCAAUAUUGAUUUGCGCUAUUCUGCUGAUUUACCUUGUAUCAAUGUUGGCAAGCCAAAACGUCCAACUAACUUCCCUAUUGAGGUAAAAUCUUGUAAUAAAAUUCCAAAACACGAGUUGGUGAAGCUGUUACCCUGUCCUUGAUAUGCUUCUGGAGUUUAUUUAUGGCGUUCUUUAAAUUUUAUCAGUCUUAUAGAUAUGUUCUUGAAGAUAAACCAGAAUUUACCGAGUCAUUUCCUUCCAGUACUUUUUCUUAGCUUGGGCGUUGUAGUUCUGUUGAGACUUGAAAAAACUUAUAAAACUCAUGUUGUCUCACAGGAGGAAACAAAUAGGCUCUCAUUUACGGGGGCCUGGAACUGACUUCAGCUGAAAUCAUUCCCCUUUAAUGCGUGGCCUCCUUUUAGGUCAAUUAACUUGUUUUGGC
Molecule: long non-coding RNA, 2173 nt
Filed under: Olea europaea subsp. europaea
Lineage: Eukaryota; Viridiplantae; Streptophyta; Magnoliopsida; Lamiales; Oleaceae
Source: RNAcentral